This 508-nucleotide long non-coding RNA is filed under the name Heterocephalus glaber (naked mole-rat). RNAcentral describes it as "lncRNA (ENSHGLG00000036381.1)". The record is from RNAcentral. Lineage: Eukaryota; Metazoa; Chordata; Mammalia; Rodentia; Bathyergidae.
CUGGAACAUGAACGGAUUGAAAAUUGUCUUCCUCGCCUGCAUGUAAACAGUUUAAUAUUUUACAGAAAGAAGUUCAUCUUGUAAAUUAGUGGCACCAGAAGCCAUAUGCAUCCAGGAGAAACCAUGCUUGGGUGUGAAUUGUGGGCGAAUGAGGUGAGGUGAGGCCUAGGCCUCUGCCAUGGUGUGGAACAGUGGCCAUGAGUCCCUCACAACGGCGAACAGGCGACAUUCUCUGGGCUGUGCUACAAAGCUGUGCGGCUCAGUAGCACCCCAGCUUCCCCGUCUCCAGGCUGUGCCUACCCUGAGUGGCCUCAGCAGAAACACCUCUGCCUGCCUUCCAGCAGCCACCCUGGUCUUAGCCUCUGGAGGGAAGGCAGAGGAUGAAGGGUGCCUGUUGUUCUUCUCGUCACACCUCUUGGCUUCCUGACAGUGGCAGGGAGGAGAAGAUGUGUGGUCUCACAGAGGAAAAGCAGUCUACUCCCGAACCUGUUGUCCUUCCAACUCUGGC